UACGUAGGGUGCAGGCGUUAAUCGGAAUUACUGGGCGUAAAGCGUGCGCAGGCGGUUUGUUAAGACAGGUGUGAAAUCCCCGGGCUUAACCUGGGAACUGCGCUUGUUACUGGCAGACUUGAGUGUAGCAGAGGGGGGUGGAAUUCCACGUGUAGCAGUGAAAUGCGUAGAGAUGUGGAGGAACACCGAUGGCGAAGGCAGCCCCCUGGGUUAACACUGACGCUCAUGCACGAAAGCGUGGGGAGCAAACAGG
RNAcentral lists this ribosomal RNA (253 nucleotides) under uncultured bacterium. RNAcentral's name for it is "partial 16S ribosomal RNA". It matches the Rfam family "Bacterial small subunit ribosomal RNA", at positions 524 to 776 of the family's 1533-position model. The record is from RNAcentral.